RNAcentral lists this long non-coding RNA (370 nucleotides) under Panax ginseng (ginseng). RNAcentral describes it as "long non-coding RNA (PGIN_LNC010396)". The record is from RNAcentral. Lineage: Eukaryota; Viridiplantae; Streptophyta; Magnoliopsida; Apiales; Araliaceae.
UGAAUUAAUAGUAAUUAAUUGCUCAUUUAUCCGAUUAAUUACCCAAUUCGUCAAUAUAACCUCCAGACAUCAAUUAUUAUCGGAAUAGAUGUCGAUUUUCACUAACACUAAUAAUCCCAACACAAUGGAAAUAUCAAUUUUAUCUUUAAUCAAUACGAACUUAUUCAUCAUUAAUAAUAUAACUCACAAUAUUUAACAACCAGAUCAUUCCCAGGAAAGAGGGGGAUUUUCGAUAAGGAUUUCUCCCUAUUGGCGCGCAAUUAGGUGACCAAACCCCUUUCUUUUACAGAACUUUCUAGACAUUGUCAAAUAAUAAUAUAAAUAACUUUGUCGUCUCAAUUAUUGAUUUAAUAAUAUAAAUAUUGAUACU